RNAcentral lists this ribosomal RNA (254 nucleotides) under uncultured prokaryote. RNAcentral's name for it is "partial 16S ribosomal RNA". It matches the Rfam family "Bacterial small subunit ribosomal RNA", at positions 524 to 777 of the family's 1533-position model. The record is from RNAcentral.
UACGGAGGAUCCGAGCGUUAUCCGGAUUUAUUGGGUUUAAAGGGUGCGUAGGCGGCUUAGUAAGUCAGCGGUGAAAUUUUGCAGCUUAACUGUAACAGUGCCGUUGAUACUGCCAGGCUAGGAUUUGGUUGCUGUGGGUGGAAUGUGUGGUGUAGCGGUGAAAUGCUUAGAUAUCACACAGAAUAUCGAUUGCGAAGGCAGCUCACAAAGCCAAGAUUGACGCUGAGGCACGAAAGUGUGGGGAUCAAACAGGA